Long non-coding RNA from Daphnia pulex (common water flea), 636 nucleotides. RefSeq lists it as uncharacterized. The record is from RefSeq and is a predicted model, not a curated record. Lineage: Eukaryota; Metazoa; Arthropoda; Branchiopoda; Diplostraca; Daphniidae. The transcript is spliced from 5 exons.
ACUAUCUAAGGUCGGUCCUUUAGAUAGUGAGUUUUGGACGUGUCAAAUAGAUGGCGUGAAAGAAUAUUGUGUUGAUAUUGCUUAUGGCGGCGGCUCGUUGUCAACAGUUCAGCUACAGCUAUUUUCUUCGGCAAUUACAAAGGAAUUCUUAUGAAAAAAUGUGUAAGGGGCAUGCAGCCUAGUGUCAACUAUUGUGUUAUAAAUCCUAGUAUUCUACUGAAUAUUUCAUCCAAAUGACAGAGAUUCAUCAUAAUUAUCGGCUGAUUUUAUUGCACUUGCAAGAUCACCUAGAAUGGACCAAUCUCUCAUUCCAUCUUCUAGAGAACCUUGGAUAACUGAUUGGUGGUUUUGUGUGUUUCUAAUUUAACAGAUUUAUGAGAAGUCAUGUCCUUUGAAGAAAAGGGACAAUGACUAUACAGUCAACAAGGUCCUUUGUUUGGUAACCCGCUGGCUGCCACCCUUGAACAUCCCUUUUUACUUCCUUAAACAGGCCCUCUUGAUUUGAGGGUAACCCCUUCGCUAAUUAUCAUGGAAUUCAUCCAUUGGUGAAAACUGAUAAGAGAAAGCUGUAAUUCAAGGCUGAUAGUUGUUAGAUGUCUUAGCCGGAAGCCUACUCGUAUUCUCGUAACAACUGUU